ACAGUACAAUAAAUUAUGAUAAAAAUUUAGAUAUACAUAUUACUAGCUAUAUAUACAAUUAAGAUGGAAUCUAAUUAAGAAGUUGUAAUGCCCUAGUGUAAAUAAUGUUCCUAGUCUCUUUACAAAAGGUGGUAAAAUCUGAACAGUUUCUCACAUCUUCGGGCAAUAAAUUAAAAACAUGCGAAGCUUGGUCUUGUAACGUAUUGCUAAUCAGUGGUCUCUCUAACUGUAAACCAUUGCUAGAUCUUAAACAUUUGCUGUGUUGUGAUCUAGACCCCCUUCCUUUCAAGGCCCUCUUAUAAA
This is a non-coding RNA of Paramuricea clavata, 303 nucleotides long. NCBI's taxonomy places the organism in Eukaryota, Metazoa, Cnidaria, Anthozoa, Malacalcyonacea, Plexauridae. The record is from the annotation of a GenBank genome assembly.